GUUUUAAAAUACAAAAAUUAAAAUUGAAAUACAAGGCGUUUUUCCUUUUCAUGAUCAAAAAGUGAUAUACGAUUUUUUUUAAAUGCUUUGAUUUUCGUUUUAUAUUUAGAAUAAAAGGAAAGUAAAAUCAAUAAGAGACUGAAACGAAAAAAGGUCGGUUUUUUCAUUUUCUGAGACCGGAAGUGGUCAUCAGCGUCAUCAAGUGUGGAGCCAAACGACAACAAGAUUCUCAGAGGGCGGAACCAGAGAGCAGUGAUUGGUCAGACUGACUGAGAGCCAGAGAGCAGUGAUUGGUCAGACCAUAGAUAAUAUAGAAGACAGCGCGCUAGCGGAUCUAGUCUAUGUAUAUCUAUAGUCGGCACGCCAGGUAGCAUCUCUGGCUGCUGUUGAUCUUGUUUUUGGAGUAAAACACGGUAAGAAGAUAAAUACUUCUAACCAGUAGCGUUGUUUUGUUGUACGUUAAGUCAGCGACUUGUGAAGAGUUGUGUUUUCUCGUGUUUGAGCAGUUGGUCCGGACGCGUUAGCUAGCUAAGCGGCUAAGUUAGCUAGCUAAGCGGCUAAGUUAGCUAGCGGGCUAAUUAACACAGGUGGCUAACUUACCGCUGAACACCUGUGUUAGUUGCUGCUGCAGCUGUCCUCAUUAUUAGAAUGACCUUCUCAGCCUGUAUUUCUCUGCUGUGUAUUUUAGCUUUUAAAAAGUUAUUUUACUUUAAGGUUAACUGAAACCCGUUGAGCUGCAUUGAAGUUUAACAUUCAGCUGGUUUGAAUUAAACCGCCCUUAACAUUGCGCAACAUUACCUCUCUGAAUCUCCAUAAUUUCAUUAAAUUCCUUCUCUCUUCCACUGCUCAAGUUCAAUCCAGUAUACAAAGUGACAUUAAUAGUGAAUAAACUAACAACCAGCCAUUGUAUUUAUUUAUUAUUGCAUAUAUUUGUAGUAAAACAUGAGUUGAAACAUCCUACUUUUGGAUCUAGAACUGCACAAGCCGUUCAUUUUCAGUCACCUGACGAGUUAAACUCCCCUUUUUAUGUGAGGUUGAAGCAGAAAGUCUGAGUUAAAGAAAGUUCUUUAUAAUUUGCAAUACCUGUUAUCUCUGACUGAGGCUUUAGUUUUUGUUGAGCUGUUUUACACGUAGAAACUUUGUUCAGGGAAAUUUCUCAGUAGCUCAGAGGACAGGCUGCUUUUUACACAACCUUGUAAGAGAAUGUCUGUCAAUGCUUUCAGCAGAAUUUAGAAACACAACACUUACUAAACAGAUAUUUUGAGGCUGUGAGGUUGAACGUUUGAGAGUAUAUCAGUGUGUUUGUUUGUGGUCUUUCUGUUUCUAGGUGGAAGCUGAAUUAGUGAGGAUGACUCCGGCUCCUGUCAUCUCUAAGCUCCUCCCACAUCUUUACCUGCACAUGAGGAAAAUCACUCCUGUAGAAUGCAGAUGCACAAUGAGGGACGUCUGCAGAGACUGAGAAAGAGUCUCACCACAUCCUGACAUGAGGAAAAAGACUUUAUUGAAGACUACAAUGAGAAAAACUAUCAGACAGCAGACGGCUGCAUUCAAGGUGAGCUCUGAACAUUUGAUCUGGAACAGGAAUUCAAUAACGGCAGCAUGAGCUUCAUUUCAGUCUGUAGCUGCUGAAUUCAUGGAUGAAUCAUCUGGCACUAGAGAAGAAGACCAUCAAACAUCCACGUCAGCUGAUGGAGGUCCAAGAGUCUCACCAAACAAACAACCUACAGAGUGAAGACCUCAAAUCUGAUUGGACGGCCUCCUAUUCAGCCACGUGUGAAGAAAUGCCUCUAAGUUGAUUUGUUUUCUAAAAUAAAUCUAGUUUGAGUCCUAA
Amphiprion ocellaris (clown anemonefish) is the source of this 1831-nucleotide long non-coding RNA. RefSeq lists it as uncharacterized. The transcript has 2 exons. The record is from RefSeq and is a predicted model, not a curated record. NCBI's taxonomy places the organism in Eukaryota, Metazoa, Chordata, Actinopteri, Pomacentridae.